RNAcentral lists this ribosomal RNA (779 nucleotides) under Ecytonucleospora hepatopenaei. RNAcentral describes it as "SSU rRNA". It matches the Rfam family "Microsporidia small subunit ribosomal RNA", at positions 292 to 1076 of the family's 1311-position model. The record is from RNAcentral. Lineage: Eukaryota; Fungi; Microsporidia; Enterocytozoonidae.
CGCGAAAAUUGUCCACUCUUUUGAGGGGAGACAGUUAUGAGACGUGAGUAGAAGGGUCGAGUGUAAAAACCUUGACGUGAAGCAAUUGGAGGGCAAGUUUUGGUGCCAGCAGCCGCGGUAAUUCCAACUCCAAGAGUGUCUAUGGUGGAUGCUGCAGUUAAAGGGUCCGUAGUCGUAGAUGCGAUUAAAAGGUGGUGUUAAAAGCCAUUGAGUUUGUUGAGAGUAGCGGAACGGAUAGGGAGCAUGGUAUAGGUGGGCAAAGAAUGAAAUCUCAAGACCCCACCUGGACCAACGGAGGCGAAAGCGAUGCUCUUAGACGUAUCUGGGGAUCAAGGACGAAGGCUAGAGUAUCGAAAGUGAUUAGACACCGCUGUAGUUCUAGCAGUAAACUAUGCCGACAAUGCUGGGUGUUGCGAGAGCGAUGCUUGGUGUGGGAGAAAUCUUAGUUUUCGGGCUCUGGGGAUAGUACGCUCGCAAGGGUGAAACUUAAAGCGAAAUUGACGGAAGGACACUACCAGGAGUGGAUUGUGCUGCUUAAUUUAACUCAACGCGGGAAAACUUACCAGGGUCAAGUCUAUCGUAGAUUGGAGACAUGAGGUAGACAAGAGUGGUGCAUGGCCGUUGGAAAUUGAUGGGGCGACUUUUAGCUUAAGUGCUGGAACCAGUGAGAUCUUCUAGACAGGUGUUAUUUAGGUACAGGAGGGAGAAGGCAAUAACAGGUCCGUGAUGCCCUUAGAUAUCCUGGGCAGCAAGCGCAUACAAUAUCUUAAUCGUCGACC